GUGGUGGCUCAGUUGUAGACUGCUUGCCUAGCAUGUGUGAGGCCCUGGGUUCAAUUCUCAGCACCACA
Molecule: transfer RNA, 68 nt
Filed under: Marmota monax (woodchuck)
Lineage: Eukaryota; Metazoa; Chordata; Mammalia; Rodentia; Sciuridae
Description: tRNA.Ala
Source: RNAcentral